This is a long non-coding RNA of Bombina bombina (fire-bellied toad), 741 nucleotides long. RefSeq lists it as uncharacterized. The record is from RefSeq and is a predicted model, not a curated record. The transcript is spliced from 2 exons. Lineage: Eukaryota; Metazoa; Chordata; Amphibia; Anura; Bombinatoridae.
UUGAUGGACAGCCCUGAUGAAGCCCUUUUUUGCAAAGGAUUCCACAAGGAGUAUUUCACAGAGUUGAAGAAAUAAGUUUGCUGCUGUGAAGUGGAGCUACAUGAAUAACAGGUCUGGCGAGACUACGCUGGAAGCAUUUGGAAGAUAGAGGGAAGGCACAUUACCACUCGUCAGGACAGAGAGGGCCAGACCACUUUUUUAAUAAAAUAUCCCCGGACACAUGGAUUGCAAGACUGGCAAGACAAAAAAAAAGGCUAUUUCACAUGGAUCUGAAGAACCUUUUAACAUCAGGACCUAAGUGCUAUUGCAUUGUUUGUUUGUUUUUAUUAUGUUUUAUAUUAUACAAUUCUAGUGUAUCUAAUGCUCAUUUAAUAUAGUCAAGUCCCAAGGUACAAAUGUUUUGGAAUAGACUCUUCUUAUGGUUUUCAAAAAUAUACAAAUGUAACAUAAUACUGACCUUAAAGGAGGUUAUGCUAUUUAAAAUCACUAAAAAUAUUCCAAUUCAUAAUAAUGAUAAGCUGUGUAUAAAUAUUCUAUUACUGGCAUGAAAACAAAUGAGACAAUGGAUCACUAUGAAUCCAAAGAUACCUUUAUUAAAAAAUAAAAUUACAUGAACAGCUAUUCAUAGAAUAAUUUUAGUCAAAAGGGAAUGUACAGGGUAGAUUGAAAAUGUACAUAGAAAAUUUAUGUCUCGUUAUUAAAAUAUUAUCAGAUGUUCAUUAAAAGCAACUCUGUUUUCCA